GGACGAACGCUGGCGGCGUGCCUAACACAUGCAAGUCGAACGGAGUUGUUCCUUCGGGGGACAACUUAGUGGCGAACGGGUGAGUAACGCGUGAGAAACCUGCCUUUCAGUGGGGGACAACAGUUGGAAACGACUGCUAAUACCGCAUAAUGUUAUUUGGGGGCAUCCCUGAAUAACCAAAGAUUUAUUGCUGAAAGAUGGUCUCGCGUCUGAUUAGCUAGUUGGUGAGGUAACGGCUCACCAAGGCGACGAUCAGUAGCCGGUCUGAGAGGAUGAACGGCCACAUUGGGACUGAGAUACGGCCCAGACUCCUACGGGAGGCAGCAGUGGGGAAUAUUGGGCAAUGGGCGAAAGCCUGACCCAGCAACGCCGCGUGAAGGAAGAAGGCCUUCGGGUUGUAAACUUCUUUUACCAGGGACGAAGAACGUGACGGUACCUGGAGAAAAAGCAACGGCUAACUACGUG
This 465-nucleotide ribosomal RNA is filed under the name uncultured bacterium. RNAcentral describes it as "bacterial SSU rRNA". It matches the Rfam family "Bacterial small subunit ribosomal RNA", at positions 27 to 507 of the family's 1533-position model. The record is from RNAcentral.